This is a long non-coding RNA of Acanthopagrus latus (yellowfin seabream), 658 nucleotides long. RefSeq lists it as uncharacterized. The transcript is spliced from 4 exons. The record is from RefSeq and is a predicted model, not a curated record. Lineage: Eukaryota; Metazoa; Chordata; Actinopteri; Spariformes; Sparidae.
AACUUGGCAGGGCCUCAUUGUUCUUUCUAUAGCCCCGCUGCUGUGAGGUGAGUGUCAAAGACACAAUUGUUCAUUAGCAAGAAAGUCUGUGGCCGCACACCACAGACUGGAUUAUAGCGGGAGACUGGACGGGGGACAGAGAAGAGGAGGUAAUGCUGGCAGAGGGAGGACAAAGAGGAAAAAUCAGUGGCGGGAUGAAACAACCACUCUAAUGGAAAAUGUUCCCUGCCCCAACACACUGGAUAAAAAUGACUGAGUCACUAUCAGGCUUCAGCGGGGCUUCAUGGGCAGCUGAUGAUUUGAAUCAGUUCUCAGAUCAGCACUGAUGAUGUAUAUAUGCAUGUGGAGGAACAGUGACGUACCGUGGCAACACCACAAACUUUGUUGAGCGUCCAAGAUUCACAUUACAUGAUGAGGUAAUGAAGUCUGAAGAAGAGAAGAAAGUCCUUUGGCAGUGUGAGGCAUCCCCCAGGUACAGCAGUGUAACUGCUGGUGAUGUUUAUCACUGUCACUGACUGUUGGAAAGAUAUCCACGUCCAUCUAGCCUCAGUCAGGCUGCACAUUCAAAGCCACCUGCCUGACACACAAAUGGGAACGCGAUCGACUGGUGCUGUACGCGGAACAAAAACAAUAAAUGGAAAAUUCUUGUGUCCCUGAA